CCUACGGGAGGCAGCAGUGAGGAAUAUUGGUCAAUGGACGCAAGUCUGAACCAGCCAUGCCGCGUGCAGGAAGACGGCUCUAUGAGUUGUAAACUGCUUUUGUACGAGGGUAAACGCAGAUACGCGUAUCUGUCUGAAAGUAUCGUACGAAUAAGGAUCGGCUAACUCCGUGCCAGCAGCCGCGGUAAUACGGAGGAUUCAAGCGUUAUCCGGAUUUAUUGGGUUUAAAGGGUGCGUAGGCGGUCGGAUAAGUUAGAGGUGAAAUCCCGAGGCUCAACUUCGGAAUUGCCUCUGAUACUGUUCGGCUAGAGAGUAGUUGCGGUAGGCGGAAUGUAUGGUGUAGCUGUGAAAUGCUUAGAGAUCAUACAGAACACCGAUUGCGAAGGCAGCUUACCAAGCUACUUCUGACGUUGAGGCACGAAAGCGUGGGGAGCAAACAGGAUUAGAUACCCUGGUAGUC
RNAcentral lists this ribosomal RNA (460 nucleotides) under uncultured bacterium. Its description in RNAcentral is "partial 16S ribosomal RNA". It matches the Rfam family "Bacterial small subunit ribosomal RNA", at positions 338 to 795 of the family's 1533-position model. The record is from RNAcentral.